Long non-coding RNA from Bemisia tabaci, 404 nucleotides. RefSeq lists it as uncharacterized. Lineage: Eukaryota; Metazoa; Arthropoda; Insecta; Hemiptera; Aleyrodidae. The record is from RefSeq and is a predicted model, not a curated record.
GGUACUUUAUUAUUAAACUUUUUCUCGGUGAACUAUUCCGUGAAUAUAGAAGGUGCAGUGAAUAGUUGAGCAGCCUUACUUUCCGAAAGUUUUCUAUCCGCCGAAAGUUUUCGUCAGCGAGCCUCUACUUUUUCUGUCCAGUGUAAUAGUUUGCCGUGUUUUACAAUAAGUGGAAGUAGUAUUUGUCACUCGUGUCGGUUGUCAUCGUGCGAAUUUUCGGUAGUGUCUUUUCAUCGAUAUUUCUGUGAAACUUGAUUUGAGAAUAUAGUUUCGGAAGUCAUUUUGCUCACGUAUAUUCCUCAGCGUUGAUUCGGCAACAUUCGAGAAGGGGAUGAACGAGGAUGGAAAUCUUCACCCUCCGCAUCAGAGCUGUUCCUGACCUUGCAGAUCAUCGCUUCUUCACG